GAUCCUGGCUCAGGACGAACGCUGGCGGCGUGCCUAAUACAUGCAAGUCGAGCGGACAGAUGGGAGCUUGCUCCCUGAUGUCAGCGGCGGACGGGUGAGUAACACGUGGGUAACCUGCCUGUAAGACUGGGAUAACUCCGGGAAACCGGGGCUAAUACCGGAUGCUUGAUUGAACCGCAUGGUUCAAUUAUAAAAGGUGGCUUUUAGCUACCACUUACAGAUGGACCCGCGGCGCAUUAGCUAGUUGGUGAGGUAACGGCUCACCAAGGCAACGAUGCGUAGCCGACCUGAGAGGGUGAUCGGCCACACUGGGACUGAGACACGGCCCAGACUCCUACGGGAGGCAGCAGUAGGGAAUCUUCCGCAAUGGACGAAAGUCUGACGGAGCAACGCCGCGUGAGUGAUGAAGGUUUUCGGAUCGUAAAACUCUGUUGUUAGGGAAGAACAAUACCGUUCGAA
RNAcentral lists this ribosomal RNA (459 nucleotides) under Bacillus licheniformis. RNAcentral's name for it is "bacterial SSU rRNA". It matches the Rfam family "Bacterial small subunit ribosomal RNA", at positions 15 to 463 of the family's 1533-position model. The record is from RNAcentral. Lineage: Bacteria; Bacillati; Bacillota; Bacilli; Caryophanales; Bacillaceae.